AAAAAAAAAACCCGAAAGGGGUGCUAAUACCGGAUAAUGUCUUCGGACCAAAGAUUUAUCGCCUUUGGAUGGGCCCGCCUUGGAUUAGCUAGUUGGUAGGGUAAAAGCCUACCAAGGCGACUAUCCAUGGCUGUUCUGGGAGGAUGAUCAGCCACACUGGGACUGAGACACGGCCCAGGCUAUUAAGGGAGGCAGCAGUGGGGAAUAUUGGACAAUGUUGUUUUUUAAUGU
RNAcentral lists this ribosomal RNA (231 nucleotides) under uncultured bacterium. RNAcentral's name for it is "partial 16S ribosomal RNA". It matches the Rfam family "Bacterial small subunit ribosomal RNA", at positions 140 to 386 of the family's 1533-position model. The record is from RNAcentral.